AGAUUGAACGCUGGCGGCAGGCCUAACACAUGCAAGUCGAGCGGCAGCGGGAAGUAGUUUACUACUUUGCCGGCGAGCGGCGGACGGGUGAGUAAUGUCUGGGGAUCUGCCUGAUGGAGGGGGAUAACUACUGGAAACGGUAGCUAAUACCGCAUGACCUCGCAAGAGCAAAGUGGGGGACCUUAGGGCCUCACGCCAUCGGAUGAACCCAGAUGGGAUUAGCUAGUAGGUGGGGUAAUGGCUCACCUAGGCGACGAUCCCUAGCUGGUCUGAGAGGAUGACCAGCCACACUGGAA
RNAcentral lists this ribosomal RNA (296 nucleotides) under Yersinia pestis biovar Orientalis str. F1991016. RNAcentral's name for it is "small subunit ribosomal RNA, 5' domain". It matches the Rfam family "Bacterial small subunit ribosomal RNA", at positions 26 to 318 of the family's 1533-position model. Lineage: Bacteria; Pseudomonadati; Pseudomonadota; Gammaproteobacteria; Enterobacterales; Yersiniaceae. The record is from RNAcentral.